CACUGCAGGGGAGCUGGGCUACAUGACCUUUAAGGGUCCCUUCCAACUGAAAUGAUUUUAUGACUAAGAGCUGCAGAACUGUCUUAUAAGUCUGGAAGUGCUGGUCACAGCAGGGCUGUGUGCAGAGAGCUGUGUGAUGAGCCAGGAUAUAACUGCACAUGCUGUGCAGUCGCUGUGUCUACAGGUCAGCGGCAUGGCCUGAGUAGCUGAUUCCAGAGCUGUGCUACAGCUUCUGCCAGGCAUCUGUUCUGUGGGCUUUUGAGCACCAUAUGGUUUUAAAAAUCAUAGACAUAAUCUUGUUUCCCCAUUGGAACCCUAUCUUGAAGUAAGAAUUACGACCUUUUACGAGAAGAGGCUGGAAGAAGUUGUUGUGUUUAGAUUAAAAGAAGUUAUGAGAAGAUUUGGCGCCUGAAAGGAGGGCAAGCAUUGGUAGGUUAUUGUAUUGGUAGAGUACCGUUAUUUAAAUGUAAGGCAAAUGUGUAUAAAAUGGGCACUGAUGAAGUUACACUGUGAAUUAAAUGAUUUGGUAUUUUCAGAGCAAUGAGACUGCGGAGCAGCUUUCCUGCACUGAGAACUGCAAGCCCAUCCGCUUUGAAAUCGAGUCCUGAUCAAUCGAUAAAAGUGCUUAUGUGAUAAAAUUGCCUGAGAUAGCAGGAGACUAAACUCCAGAAGCUUUCCAAUUCCUUGUUUCUAUUUAAUGUUGCUUUUAAUGCUUAUUCCAUGUAUAAUUUAAUGCACGGUUUACUGCACAGCACUAUCAUCCAUUAAAUAAAAAUAUUAAUUUCCUUUAGAGCAUUUUAGAAAUGCUGUCAUCCUGCUAAACAUUAACAAUGUUAUCUGUGUAACACCAUUAUGAAAUGGAUGGCAUUAUCUUUUCCUAUGUCCAGGAAAUGAAAAAUAACACCUCUAGAUACCUGUGUUGUGAAAUAUAAGGAUUCCUUUUGCAGUGUGUUGGACAAUCAAAGACUUACAUUUCAACUUUCUAAUGCUUCCAUGUAUUGCGAGUCCACUUCUCCCUGACUUUAGAUGUGCCUAUGGAUGUUCAGCAUCUUAGCAGCUCACAUAACAAAUUGCUCAACUGAGGUGGGGAAGAAAAUGAGGAAUACACAUGACACAGAUUCCUUAGACUUGCAUGUGAAUUUGAGGAUGGAGUUAGAAUUCAGCUUUCUAGAGGUUUAAUCAUUGUCCAUAACUUUAAGGCUGCUUUCCCUUUCUGUAUCUCUCCUUUUGCUCAGUUCUUGCCCAUAUUCUCGCCAGUCCUGCCCUCCUUUCUGUAAUUCUUUACCCACUUCUACUCGCUGGCCUUUUCUUUUUCUCAGCUCCCAAGAAAACUUGUGAGUGGAGGACAGGACUUGCUUAGGAGGACUGAACAUUUAGUAGUCUUAUGUGAGAGCUGGACUAUGGAGGCUUGAGAAAAUUUACUGGCAAAUUUUAAGACGUUUCCUGAGCAUACUCAAAUUGAGGUUUUUUGUUAAGUUUACCACAUUUGGGUAGUUUUCCAUAAAGCCUGCAAAAGACUUGACCUCAACUGGCCAACUUCUUGCUAAGUUAUAAGGAGUCACUCUAGUGGUUGUAUAUGGUUUGGAGACUUGGGAACAAAGGAAUAAGGCGAAGGUCUUUUGUUACACUAUUGUAUUUUGUGUUCACAUUGUAAAGGUGCUGGAGAUUGGCAAAAGUGCUUUUCAUGUUAAACCUACAUUAAAGAUAAAAAGACACCCAUCUAAGAGGCAAAAGCAUCACCAUCGUCCAGUAAGUAAAACAUAACUGUGAGCUUCUGGGACCAAGCUCUUUAGACUUUAUUCAACCUGACUCCACAUUGUAUCUGCAUUGUGCUGUGAGGAAGGCCACAGGACUUCCUACGUUUUGAAAAUACUUGCAGGGUUCGUUCAUUACCGUGUUAAACAAGUCACUUCAGGGAGGGCAAGCCUCUAAAGGAAGUUGUUGAGUGUGUAGCUUAUAAUGGGUGCAGUUUUUCUGCAAACUAUGUCCUCAUGGGAGAAGAGAAAUCACAACAUGUCUGGGUUAGGAAGAAGAGUGUCAGUGUGGGGUGGUGGCAUUGAAUUUCACUUCUGCUGCUGAGCACCAUUUGUCUGAUUUAGCUUGCUGCAUGAUAAGUGUAUCUGUGCUGAGAGUCAUUUGUCUUUGCUGCUGAAGGAUGAUGCUGAUGGUUAUUGAUACCUGCUGCUGGGGUAAAUGCUGUUGUAGCCUGAUAGACUGGAGCAGCUAUUGAUCACAGUUGUAGUAAAAUCUCAGUAUUUGACACUUGCUUUUUCCAACCAUUGCAGUUGUUAAUGUUAAAUUCCACUUCUCUCUCUGGAUGUGAAAUUACUAUCACGUUAUCGCAUAUAACUGUGUUCCUCUGCAUCUUUUCCUUCUGCAUUGUGUGGUACAGAGGAGUGGAAGAAGCUCUGGGGAGUGCAGUCAAAUCUCUUAUCCAAGUGAGCUGCCUACCUCUCUGCUGCAGGCCUGGGAGGAUGCUGGCUGAACAUAGAGCAGUUCCUCUCUUCGUGCUGUUUGGAUAAGAACAGAAGCCUGGCAGUGCUGGCCCCAAGCAGGUCCAAGGAACCUCUUGCAAAGUGGCUCUUAAGCCCUAGGGCCAAUCUAGGCUGCAGCUGCCAGGAGAGGGCUGUGAAGGAGUCUCAGUGGAGAUUCCUCUCCAGAAAUGCCAUGCAUGGGUCUAGCGAGGCCUAGGGACAAAACUUUUGCAGAUAUCCCUCUUUUUGUUUUGCCUGUCCCUGUCCCAAACUUGUGAGGGAGAGAGCAGAGGAGCCAGCUGGGGCUAAAUGACAUCCAUGAAAGUUGAGGUGUGUCUUUUUUUUUUUUAUGGAAAUGAAACAAACAGUGUUGUAAUGGAUUCUGUUCAGUUAAACGCAACUUGCUCUGCCAAAACAUAAUAAAGAGCCUGCUUUUGCAUGAACAAACAGGAGUGGCAGAAGUCACACAGACUGCCAAGUAAAUGUUAUCCUCCUGAAGCUUCUCCUAUUGGGAGCUAACAAUAGGGCCCCUAGAAUUAAGAUAAAUGCAGCUAAUUUCCCCGUAAUGGUGAUUUGAUUAUUCUUUCUUUACAAGUAACUAGUUCCCUUUUCUAAUUAUAUAGCUUGCUUUUAUCCAAGAAAAAUUACCCAAUUUACGAGAGUGAACCAUUAAAGUCACUCAUCUGUGAAGAGCUUAUUGUAGUGCCAGCUUCAGAAAACAUCUAUAUUGCAAGGGAUACGUAUAGAUUUUUGUAUCUUCUGCUGUUUUGCUAACGGUCAUGACAAAUGAGAAAGCAGACAGCAGGAAUGGAUGUGCAAGGCAGAAAUGAAACACACGGGGCUGGGAGCAUAGACCCUUACACCCAUGUAGCAUGUCUCUAAAGCAGUGACAAGUCUUGGAGGGAAAGGGGGUACUGAGGAACAAGACAGAAAUGUGUAAUGUUAUGCUGGUACUUGGUUACCCUGCACAUAGCAGGGAGGUUGAAACUAGACGACCAUUAUGGUCCUUUUCAAUCCAGGCCAUUCUAUGAUUCUGUGAUUCUUUCUCUGACAGCUGCUCUAGGGCAUGCUCUCCAAAGGGGAGAUGUGACUUCACCCAACCCGACUGCGCAGCAGGAUGUGUAGCUAGGAGCAUGAUUAUUCUCAGUGUUGGCAAACCAUAACAACAAAGGAUAUAACGGAGAGCACAGAAGAGAUGGGGUAGAAAAGAAGGUAGAGAAGCAAUGCCUGUGGGACAACUAUCCAGACUCCUGUGAACUCUGCAAGCCAAAAUAAAGGUUGAAGAAAGAAUCAGAAAAGAAGUUUGUUUCAAGAUGGAAAAUGGCAAUCAGUUAUACCUCUCAAGCCUGGAAGGCCUUUCUGCUUGAAAUACUCUUUGAGUCUGGGUCGUGACACAAAGUGCUGCGUGCUGGCGUUGGUGUAGUAAUGGACUUUCUUUUUUGACCAGCACCCUGUUGUAUUCAGGUUUUUAAACUGUAAGGUAGUUAAACCAUUUUAAACAGCUCAUCCUGAUUCCAAAUAUUUUUGUAAGAAAAUAGUCCUUUGUUGAAGUUGACUAGAUUGGCAGGUAGCCAUCAGUGAGGCAGAAAAAUGUUACGUCCAUAGGAGAGUAUUGUAAAUGUCUCUGCUAGGUAACUGCACAGGUAACAUGCAGGCAUGCUGGCAGCAGUCCAUGUAGACAUGAAGUGAAAUAACAAAGACUUCCCCUGACCAGCAGUUGUUUGAGAAGUAAUUAGUUCUCCAGUUUCAUAAGUUUACAAAGGAGCUAAGAACCCAUUUUGGAGUCUUAAGGAACAAUUGCAUGGAAUAAUUAGAAUUACUGCAUCAAAUUUUUGCUGAAUAUGUAUUAAUUCUUACAGAUUAAUAGGAUGAUGUAUCCUGGAAUAUAAAUGCUGUUUUCCAAGAUUUUGCUAGGACAUUCCCCAAAAUGACAUGUGAGUUUCUCCCUUGUAGGUAUAGUUCCAAGUUCCUGAAUUUUGACCAUGGAGGCCCUAGGAUCUCUUUGUUGCCUGCAGAAGGCAUUUCCAGAGGAUAAUUCUUCCCAUCCUACUAAAACUCUGGAAAUGUCUCUUUCCAGAUCCUUUAGCACUCCUGCACUCCUGCACUCCUAACAAGAUGAAACUGGCUGAACAUAAGCCAAAGGCUAGGAAUAUGAUAGCAGUUUGAUACAUAUUCAUUAUGGCUGAAGUUUCCUCCUAAUGGACCAAUACAAAGACUAUAUACUAAUUGAGUGCAGGCUAAGUUCACUCAGGAGGUGCCCAAGUGGUGAUCAGGCCCUCACUGACACUAUAUGUAGGGCUGAAUUUCACAUUGUUUAAAGCAUCAUUUGUCAGGGCCUUGAUUUCUCUAGAUUUUCUCCUUUUAUAUCACACAUACUUUCAUUCAAAAUCAUACUUCUUUCAGGUGGAGAGGAAUAUUCUGCAUUGCUGAUGCAACUGACUUUAUGAUUAUUAGCACACAGCAGUUUAAUAGGUUUGAGCAAACAGUAGUUGCAGGCCCAAUAGAUACAAUGAUUGUCAUCAGGAGUCAUUCAGUGCUUUCCUUUUACAGGGCACAAACUCCCUGUGACUCACACUAACAGGAUAAGGUCAGAUUUUCAUGUGGCGUAAAUCAGGAAAACGUUGCCUGUGGUAAUGUGUGUGUUUUCUGUAUUAAAUUAAUUAAAGAUUUUUUUCUUGUAUGCUCCUUGUAAGAUUUAUGUAAUCUGAGUCAGUCCAACCCUGCAUCUGAAAUUCUUCUAUUGUACCUCUCUGGACACUUUCUGUUUCACAUGAAUCUCUGUGAUGGGAAACUUGGAACAG
Molecule: long non-coding RNA, 5275 nt
Organism: Phasianus colchicus (ring-necked pheasant)
Lineage: Eukaryota; Metazoa; Chordata; Aves; Galliformes; Phasianidae
Source: RefSeq, a predicted model, not a curated record